RNAcentral lists this ribosomal RNA (2721 nucleotides) under Salmonella enterica subsp. enterica serovar Virchow. RNAcentral's name for it is "partial 23S ribosomal RNA". It matches the Rfam family "Bacterial large subunit ribosomal RNA". The record is from RNAcentral. Lineage: Bacteria; Pseudomonadati; Pseudomonadota; Gammaproteobacteria; Enterobacterales; Enterobacteriaceae.
GGGUUGUGAGGUUAAGCGACUAAGCGUACACGGUGGAUGCCCUGGCAGUCAGAGGCGAUGAAGGGCGUGCUAAUCUGCGAUAAGCGCCGGUAAGGUGAUAUGAACCGUUAUAACCGGCGAUACCCGAAUGGGGAAACCCAGUGUGAUUCGUCACACUAUCAUUAACUGAAUCCAUAGGUUAAUGAGGCGAACCGGGGGAACUGAAACAUCUAAGUACCCCGAGGAAAAGAAAUCAACCGAGAUUCCCCCAGUAGCGGCGAGCGAACGGGGAGGAGCCCAGAGCCUGAAUCAGCAUGUGUGUUAGUGGAAGCGUCUGGAAAGGCGCGCGAUACAGGGUGACAGCCCCGUACACAAAAGCGCAUGUGCUGUGAGCUCGAUGAGUAGGGCGGGACACGUGGUAUCCUGUCUGAAUAUGGGGGGACCAUCCUCCAAGGCUAAAUACUCCUGACUGACCGAUAGUGAACCAGUACCGUGAGGGAAAGGCGAAAAGAACCCCGGCGAGGGGAGUGAAAAAGAACCUGAAACCGUGUACGUACAAGCAGUGGGAGCACCCUUUGGGGUGUGACUGCGUACCUUUUGUAUAAUGGGUCAGCGACUUAUAUUCUGUAGCAAGGUUAACCGUAUAGGGGAGCCGUAGGGAAACCGAGUCUUAACCGGGCGUUAAGUUGCAGGGUAUAGACCCGAAACCCGGUGAUCUAGCCAUGGGCAGGUUGAAGGUUGGGUAACACUAACUGGAGGACCGAACCGACUAAUGUUGAAAAAUUAGCGGAUGACCUGUGGCUGGGGGUGAAAGGCCAAUCAAACCGGGAGAUAGCUGGUUCUCCCCGAAAGCUAUUUAGGUAGCGCCUCGUGAAUUCAUCUCCGGGGGUAGAGCACUGUUUCGGCUAGGGGGCCAUCCCGGCUUACCAACCCGAUGCAAACUGCGAAUACCGGAGAAUGUUAUCACGGGAGACACACGGCGGGUGCUAACGUCCGUCGUGAAGAGGGAAACAACCCAGACCGCCAGCUAAGGUCCCAAAGUCAUGGUUAAGUGGGAAACGAUGUGGGAAGGCCCAGACAGCCAGGAUGUUGGCUUAGAAGCAGCCAUCAUUUAAAGAAAGCGUAAUAGCUCACUGGUCGAGUCGGCCUGCGCGGAAGAUGUAACGGGGCUAAACCAUGCACCGAAGCUGCGGCAGCGACGCUGAUGCGUUGUUGGGUAGGGGAGCGUUCUGUAAGCCUGUGAAGGUGGCCUGUGAGGGUUGCUGGAGGUAUCAGAAGUGCGAAUGCUGACAUAAGUAACGAUAAAGCGGGUGAAAAGCCCGCUCGCCGGAAGACCAAGGGUUCCUGUCCAACGUUAAUCGGGGCAGGGUGAGUCGACCCCUAAGGCGAGGCCGAAAGGCGUAGUCGAUGGGAAACGGGUUAAUAUUCCCGUACUUGGUGUUACUGCGAAGGGGGGACGGAGAAGGCUAUGUUGGCCGGGCGACGGUUGUCCCGGUUUAAGCGUGUAGGUGUGUGUUCCAGGUAAAUCCGGUUCACUUUAACACUGAGGCGUGACGACGAGGCACUACGGUGCUGAAGCAACAAAUGCCCUGCUUCCAGGAAAAGCCUCUAAGCAUCAGGUAACAUCAAAUCGUACCCCAAACCGACACAGGUGGUCAGGUAGAGAAUACCAAGGCGCUUGAGAGAACUCGGGUGAAGGAACUAGGCAAAAUGGUGCCGUAACUUCGGGAGAAGGCACGCUGACACGUAGGUGAAGUGAUUUACUCAUGGAGCUGAAGUCAGUCGAAGAUACCAGCUGGCUGCAACUGUUUAUUAAAAACACAGCACUGUGCAAACACGAAAGUGGACGUAUACGGUGUGACGCCUGCCCGGUGCCGGAAGGUUAAUUGAUGGGGUCAGCGCAAGCGAAGCUCCUGAUCGAAGCCCCGGUAAACGGCGGCCGUAACUAUAACGGUCCUAAGGUAGCGAAAUUCCUUGUCGGGUAAGUUCCGACCUGCACGAAUGGCGUAAUGAUGGCCAGGCUGUCUCCACCCGAGACUCAGUGAAAUUGAACUCGCUGUGAAGAUGCAGUGUACCCGCGGCAAGACGGAAAGACCCCGUGAACCUUUACUAUAGCUUGACACUGAACAUUGAGCCUUGAUGUGUAGGAUAGGUGGGAGGCUUUGAAGUGUGGACGCCAGUCUGCAUGGAGCCGACCUUGAAAUACCACCCUUUAAUGUUUGAUGUUCUAACGUGGACCCGUUACCCGGGUUGCGGACAGUGUCUGGUGGGUAGUUUGACUGGGGCGGUCUCCUCCUAAAGAGUAACGGAGGAGCACGAAGGUUGGCUAAUCCUGGUCGGACAUCAGGAGGUUAGUGCAAUGGCAUAAGCCAGCUUGACUGCGAGCGUGACGGCGCGAGCAGGUGCGAAAGCAGGUCAUAGUGAUCCGGUGGUUCUGAAUGGAAGGGCCAUCGCUCAACGGAUAAAAGGUACUCCGGGGAUAACAGGCUGAUACCGCCCAAGAGUUCAUAUCGACGGCGGUGUUUGGCACCUCGAUGUCGGCUCAUCACAUCCUGGGGCUGAAGUAGGUCCCAAGGGUAUGGCUGUUCGCCAUUUAAAGUGGUACGCGAGCUGGGUUUAGAACGUCGUGAGACAGUUCGGUCCCUAUCUGCCGUGGGCGCUGGAGAACUGAGGGGGGCUGCUCCUAGUACGAGAGGACCGGAGUGGACGCAUCACUGGUGUUCGGGUUGUCAUGCCAAUGGC